GGCGAAGAUGAUGAGUGCUUUAUUCUGACACCUCUUGUAUGAGAGGAGCUCCCGAAAAUGGAGUUCUUCGCUGAGCACAUACAGCAACUCUCUGAGCC
This is a non-coding RNA of Eucalyptus grandis, 98 nucleotides long. The record is from Rfam. NCBI's taxonomy places the organism in Eukaryota, Viridiplantae, Streptophyta, Magnoliopsida, Myrtales, Myrtaceae.